RNAcentral lists this ribosomal RNA (499 nucleotides) under uncultured bacterium. Its description in RNAcentral is "partial 16S ribosomal RNA". It matches the Rfam family "Bacterial small subunit ribosomal RNA", at positions 28 to 507 of the family's 1533-position model. The record is from RNAcentral.
GACGAACGCUGGCGGCGUGCUUAACACAUGCAAGUCGAACGGGCCCGCUCUCUUUUUUGGGGGUGGGUUGAGUGGCGAACGGGUGAGUAUCCCGUGAGUAACCUGCCCCCUGCUCCUGGAUAACUGCUUGAAAGGGCGGCUAAUACGGGGUGUGCCGGCUGGUCCGCAUGGGCCUGGUCGGGAUAGUUUCAUCUUCAGGUGUUUCGGUGGGGGAUGGGCUCGCGGCCUAUCAGCUUGUUGGUGGGGUGAUGGCCCACCAAGGCGGUGACGGGUAGCCGGCCUGAGAGGGUGGGCGGCCACACUGGGACUGAGACACGGCCCAGACUCCUGCGGGAGGCAGCAGUGGGGGGUAUUGCACAAUGGGCGGAAGCCUGAUGCAGCGACGGCGCGUGAGGGAUGGAGGCCUUCGGGUUGUGAACCUCUUUCUCCGGUGGUGAAGGCCCUGUCCGUUGCGGCGGGGUUGACGGUAGCCGGGUAUGAAGCGCCGGCUAACUACGUG